Long non-coding RNA from Bactrocera neohumeralis, 257 nucleotides. RefSeq lists it as uncharacterized. The record is from RefSeq and is a predicted model, not a curated record. The transcript has 3 exons. Lineage: Eukaryota; Metazoa; Arthropoda; Insecta; Diptera; Tephritidae.
GAAAAGCGCAAUUUAUUAUGGAUUUUAAAGAGAGAAAAGGAAAAAGCUUAAGAAGGAGAAAAAGAAAUCAUUUGGACCAUUUGGAAAAUUCAAAUCUAUUGCGUAUAACGGCAAAAUUCCGAUUUCUUUGGCGCCGCGAUUUGAAGGUACCGUUGGAAAGAGGAAGUUCUCCUGAUUAAAAAAUAUACAGUGUUAUAGGUUAUUAUAUCUGUCAGCGAUUUCCAUUUAUUUUUUAUGAUACAUUGGUUUGUAUUUUA